UCUUGGUCAUUUAGAGGAAGUAAAAGUCGUAACAAGGUCUCCGUUGGUGAACCAGCGGAGGGAUCAUUACCGAGUUUACAACUCCCAAACCCCUGUGAACAUACCAAUUGUUGCCUCGGCGGAUCAGCCCGCUCCCGGUAAAACGGGACGGCCCGCCAGAGGACCCCUAAACUCUGUUUCUAUAUGUAACUUCUGAGUAAAACCAUAAAUAAAUCAAAACUUUCAACAACGGAUCUCUUGGUUCUGGCAUCGAUGAAGAACGCAGCAAAAUGCGAUAAGUAAUGUGAAUUGCAGAAUUCAGUGAAUCAUCGAAUCUUUGAACGCACAUUGCGCCCGCCAGUAUUCUGGCGGGCAUGCCUGUUCGAGCGUCAUUUCAACCCUCAAGCCCCCGGGUUUGGUGUUGGGGAUCGGCGAGCCCUUGCGGCAAGCCGGCCCCGAAAUCUAGUGGCGGUCUCGCUGCAGCUUCCAUUGCGUAGUAGUAAAACCCUCGCAACUGGUACGCGGCGCGGCCAAGCCGUUAAACCCCCAACUUCUGAAUGUUGACCUCGGAUCAGGUAGGAAUACCCGCUGAACUUAAGCAUAUCAAUAAGCGGAGGAACUU
RNAcentral lists this ribosomal RNA (601 nucleotides) under sordariomycete sp. 7670B. Its description in RNAcentral is "eukaryotic LSU rRNA". The stretch from base 218 to 371 matches the Rfam family "5.8S ribosomal RNA". The record is from RNAcentral. Lineage: Eukaryota; Fungi; Ascomycota; Sordariomycetes. RNAcentral also lists the same sequence under 1 other name.